ACAACCAUAUCAUGUUGAAAUACCGAUUCUCAUACAAUCACUGAAGUUAAGCAACGUUGACCUUGGUCGGUACCUAGAUGGGUGAUCGCUUGAGAAUACCAGAUGC
Non-coding RNA from Acanthosepion pharaonis, 106 nucleotides. The record is from the annotation of a GenBank genome assembly. NCBI's taxonomy places the organism in Eukaryota, Metazoa, Mollusca, Cephalopoda, Sepiida, Sepiidae.